AUUGAACGCUGGCGGUAUGCUUAACACAUGCAAGUCGAACGAUGAGAAAGAGCUUGCUCUUUCGAUUAGUGGCGGACGGGUGCGUAACGCGUAGGAAUCUACCUAUUAGUGGGGGACAACUUAGGGAAACUUAAGCUAAUACCGCAUACGCCCUACGGGGGAAAGAAGGGGAUCGCAAGACCUUUUGCUAAUAGAUGAGCCUGCGUAGGAUUAGCUAGUUGGUGGGGUAAAAGCUCACCAAGGCGACGAUCCUUAACGGGUUUGAGAGAAUGAUAAGGAACACUGGAACUGAGAAACGGUCCAGACUCCUACGGGGGGCAGCAGUGGGGAAUAUUGGACAAUGGGCGAAAGCCUGAUCCAGCAAUACCGCGUGUGUGAAGAAGGCCUUAGGUUUGUAAAGCACUUUCAAUUGGAAGGAAAACCUCGAAGCUAAUACCUUCGAGUUUGACAUUACCUUUAGAAGAAGCACCGGCUAACUCCGUGCCAGCCGCCGCCGUAA
This 499-nucleotide ribosomal RNA is filed under the name uncultured bacterium. Its description in RNAcentral is "partial 16S ribosomal RNA". It matches the Rfam family "Bacterial small subunit ribosomal RNA", at positions 30 to 523 of the family's 1533-position model. The record is from RNAcentral.